ACCCUCUUAGCUCAGCUGGACAGAGCGCCGCACUACGAAUGCGGAGGCCGCAGGUUCGACUCCUGCAGGGGGUA
This 74-nucleotide transfer RNA is filed under the name Nocardioides thalensis. It matches the Rfam family "tRNA". From Rfam's summary of the family: Transfer RNA (tRNA) molecules are approximately 80 nucleotides in length. Their secondary structure includes four short double-helical elements and three loops (D, anti-codon, and T loops). Lineage: Bacteria; Bacillati; Actinomycetota; Actinomycetes; Propionibacteriales; Nocardioidaceae. The record is from Rfam by way of RNAcentral.